CAGAGAUUGGGCGGCUCCACCUGCACCUUCACACCUGCUCCAGAUUACUGCAAUCACCACCUGCACUUAAACCCUGCUGUGAGGCUUCUCCAGUGCCAGAUUAUUCCUCAUCUGAUGUGUACCUCCAUGAGCCCCCAGUGUUGCCACCCAAUCUCUUCCACACUGCCACACUCUCUGCCUGGAUUCACUCACCAGCCUCCUCCUCAAGCCCUCACGUCUCCAGCCUUCACCUCUCCUCCGAUUCCCUCCUCAUGCCUUGGACCCUGGACCCUGUCCCUCCACCCCUUUGUCCCUUCAAUAAAUUCACUGAACUGCUU
Long non-coding RNA from Notolabrus celidotus (New Zealand spotty), 317 nucleotides. RefSeq lists it as uncharacterized. The transcript has 2 exons. NCBI's taxonomy places the organism in Eukaryota, Metazoa, Chordata, Actinopteri, Labriformes, Labridae. The record is from RefSeq and is a predicted model, not a curated record.